Molecule: non-coding RNA, 492 nt
Organism: Paramuricea clavata
Lineage: Eukaryota; Metazoa; Cnidaria; Anthozoa; Malacalcyonacea; Plexauridae
Source: the annotation of a GenBank genome assembly
CAGUUCCAAAUUUUGUGUGAUAAGUUCUUAUGUCCUAUAGCAUGUUUUAAGUAGACAGAUUUUCAUUUUAUCAAAUCCUUCUGUCCGAACGCUGAAAAAACACUGUUUCCAUGGUAACCAUGGUAAAACAACAAAUUUUGAAAAACUGUCUACUUAAUACAUAAAGUAUCAUGAGCUGCACUUACAGUCCAAAAAUGGGGCGAAUUCAUCAAAUUCUCUUCCCUCUAGGCUUUCCACAAAACGGUGGAAGCAAAACUUGUUCGUUUUGAGAAAAUCAAGGUUAAACUCACGAAAUGUGAAAGUUUUUAUGCAUAUGAUAUACCAUUCAAGUAACACAACUGAAGAGUUUUCAAACAACAAUACGAAGAUUAACUAUACUCUGCACUAACAAAAUUCCACAAUAGAGCAUAGAACAAUAACCAAGGUUAGACACGGCUGGUGACGCUUUUGAUCGCCAACGUUCCAACAUAUUUUCUACAAACAUUGUUUGUG